RNAcentral lists this long non-coding RNA (568 nucleotides) under Ursus maritimus (polar bear). Its description in RNAcentral is "lncRNA (ENSUMAG00000015548.1)". Lineage: Eukaryota; Metazoa; Chordata; Mammalia; Carnivora; Ursidae. The record is from RNAcentral.
GCUGGGAAGACUAUUUAUUUAUUGAACGCGUCAUUGUUGAACAUAUCCUAUGUGUUAUGCUCACGGAGGAUAUGGCAGUGAGUGAGUAAAGCCCGUGCGUUAAAUCCAGCACGAAGAUGUGUUCAGGGUGGUCUUCGCGGGGCUUUUACGAUUGUCGACAUUUAAAACUUAGGAGACACCAUGUAAAAUUCUGGUUUCCCAGCUUCUCUUGAAAAGUGGCAAUGUCUGAUGUCGACUGGCCAGAUUUCUGCAAAACAGCAAACUGGCUGGCGGGUGGUUUGCUGUCAUCUCCACCUACUCCCUAUUGUUCCCCAACACCAAGGACGACUGUCACUUACAACCGUGUCUAAAAAGGAGAUGCCACGUGUCCUCAUGGCCCUCACCACUUCUCCGCACCUGUGUCCCUUGCCCUGAGUGAUUUUUCUGGACAGCCCCAUCUGCCGGCACAGGUGACAGGCCAGCAGUGGCCGGGCAUUCACACCGUCUGAGAGCAGCCCCACCCCAAUGACUGAUGGGAGGUGAGGAGCAAUUUUAUCUCUGCUGUCUCCCUGCUUGGCAAGCAGAAACU